AAUCAUUAAAAUAAUUAAAAAAUAUAUAUUUAAAAUAUUUAUAUAAUGUUAACAUAUUUAAUAUUUGUUAAAUAUUGAUGUAUUUUCCUUUUUGUUUGCAGGUUGUCUGUACUUUGAGAGAAUUCAAUAAGUACAGGCAAUAUCUUACCAGUUUAAAAUUAGACUUUGAAAGAAACUAUAUAAGAGAUCAAAAACAACACCUUCUAAAGAAAAAAAUGGCUUAUCAUUUAUAAAAAUGCAAGAUACUGGCUUUAAAGGAAAAUAUAUGGGGAAAAAUACAUUGAAGUACAAAGGUCAAGAUGGAACACAUGGUGAAUCUUCUCCAAAGAAUAAAAGGAAGACUUCUGAAGAUAUCAUAUUAAUUUAUCCUGCUGGAGACCAGAAUACAUAUGAAGAAAUAUCUGGAAAUACAUCAGCUGCUGCUCAUCAGAAUCAAAAUCGUCCAGAGAAUUUUAUGAAAAAAUCCUCAACUUCUGUUGUUCAGGCAAAUGUGCAGGAUAAUGGUAUAAAUCAAAAGGUACAAAAUUAUGCUUUAAAGUUUGGUGUUGUGUUUAUUAAUUUAUCUACUUAA
RNAcentral lists this long non-coding RNA (571 nucleotides) under Aotus nancymaae (Ma's night monkey). RNAcentral describes it as "lncRNA (ENSANAG00000038771.1)". The record is from RNAcentral. Lineage: Eukaryota; Metazoa; Chordata; Mammalia; Primates; Aotidae.